Molecule: long non-coding RNA, 1071 nt
Filed under: Nicotiana benthamiana
Lineage: Eukaryota; Viridiplantae; Streptophyta; Magnoliopsida; Solanales; Solanaceae
Description: long non-coding RNA (NBEN_LNC008528)
Source: RNAcentral
CUUCAUGUACUAAUUAAUAUAAUUCUGAAGCAAGCAUCCACAGGAACUUGAAGAUUAAAUGAACAUGCUCUUUGCUGAACCUUUACAUCCAAAUCAAGGAGAUAAACAGUUCAACUUUUACACUAAUUCUAAAAUUUCACAUUCAUAUAAUGAUCUUUCACAUAUUAGAUAUUGAAACAAUCACUAAAAUACUCUAACUAUAAUCACGCUUCCCCUUUAUACCGUGGGUUCUACGCUAACUACUACUUGACCAACUAAUUUUAAUUGUGCUCUUCUCAAUAGUAAUGCAAAUAAGAGCUUUCUGUACAUUAAUAACCAAUGAAACAACUAUCCACCUUGUAAACACAUACAACUUCCAGAUCUUAACCAUCAUUUAUCAUGACCCUCCACACACAUUAAUCAGCAUAAUGAACUACAAAUCAGUACUACUACAUCAUUCCAUAUUCAAUACAGAAUAGUGGGAGACAUAAGAAUAUUAAAUUGAAUCAGAUGACUUUAAGAAUGCAGAAACAUCAAACACGCGAUUGUAUUAUUACAAAACUCAACUUGAGUACACCAAACUUGAUGUUCAUCCUUUUUCACACAUUAGGAGGUGAAUUGAAUACCUGAAAAAAGCAAAAUAAGAGUGAAAUGAGAAGAGCAGCAGCAAACAGUAGCAAACAAACCCAAAUCCAACCAACUCAGUAGUGAAAUAAUAGAAUUGCCUUUGAAAAAGAAACUCAAAAGAACCAACCAACAAAAUCAAAUCCAAGCUCUUUCUACACCCAAGUUCAAACUCAUUUUAUCACUAGAUCAGUUUUUUAGAAGUUUUCCAGAAGUUUAAAACCAGCAAAGUGAUUUAAAGAAUUAAAACCAAGUAACACUAAUUCCACUAACUUUCAACAAUUGAAAACUAAGAAAAAUUGAAGAAAGUUUUGAUGAAACAAUAGCUUCCUAUCCAUUUUUGGGUUGUUUUAAUUUUCAGUACUUUUUUAUCCCUUAAGUCUGCCUUGAAAGGCAAGUUUAGGAUGCCUUUAUAGGUAAGGGACUAGGGCAGACCUUGGGAUUUUUGAUGUUGCACUCUCUCUCUCC